This 164-nucleotide ribosomal RNA is filed under the name uncultured bacterium. RNAcentral's name for it is "partial 16S rRNA". It matches the Rfam family "Bacterial small subunit ribosomal RNA", at positions 355 to 511 of the family's 1533-position model. The record is from RNAcentral.
UAGGGAAUCUUCCACAAUGGGCGAAAGCCUGAUGGAGCAACGCCGCGUGUGUGAUGAAGGGUUUCGGCUCGUAAAACACUGUUGUAAGAGAAGAAAGACAUUGAGAGUAACUGUUCAAUGUGUGACGGUAUCUUACCAGAAAGGAACGGCUAAAUACGUACCAG